CAGCAGACACAUUCCAGCCAAUCAGCAGCACACCCUCCCUCCCAGAACCUCCCACCUCCUGGACAGCUCACUAAGAAUGCAGCUUCACAAUGGAUGUAAAAUGGAUGCUGUCCAGGAGGUGGGAGGGUCUGGGAGGGAGGGUCUGCUGCUGAUUGGCUGGAAUGUGUCUGCUG
RNAcentral lists this microRNA precursor (173 nucleotides) under Pelobates cultripes (western spadefoot toad). Lineage: Eukaryota; Metazoa; Chordata; Amphibia; Anura; Pelobatidae. The record is from RNAcentral.